CACUGGUUGGAAAAUACUGAGUUAGGUAACAUCUCCCUGACGAAGGAAGCCGUGCUUCUGAAAUGUGUUUGAGGUAUCUUUGAUCUAAUCCUGUACCGUAGUGAUGUCACGACAUCGGUCUCCAGCAAACCGUGAACCGGGGCUACCACGGUAGAGAACGCCACCGGCCGGGGUGUACUCCCGCAAUCCCCAACUAGGAUCUUCGGUAAAAGGAUACGCACUCUCCGCAACAUCUCAAAACAAGCGGAAGUGCGGGCAUCACCGCCAAGAAAAACAAUCACACAAAAACGCAAGCAAAACGCAAGUUAAAUCUUUAAAGUGAUUGCACUAUAAGUCCAAUAUUCUGCGCACAUCCAUAGGUAUAUGUUUAUAAGUGAACUAGACAUCUAUCCUGUACGUCUCAGUUAGAUCUGCUCGUAUCUAAAUGGACAUUCUUUGACUUGUAGUGCCACCAGCCAACAAGGAUUUCACCACCAAUAAUAUACUAAUACAGCUAAAUUCCUGGAACACGCUGGAACCCAUAUAAAUAAGCAUACCUACAGUGCACCCUAAAGAACAACUUAAAGAAUAACCCUGCAAACAAUUAUACCACACUUACAGUUUGAUCUUCUUCUUUUAGCCAGCCAAUCAGAAAGCAGCACUACUCAAAUAGAACUCCCGUGAGGUCACACAUGUGAUGUCAUAACCUUUGUCAUCAGUGAGGGGCCUAAACUGUAGGAACCUAGGAAUACACAUUCAUACCCGCCUGUGACUGGUAAGUAUCACAUCUUUUUGGUCUUUAGUGCAGUUCCAUGUGCAUUUCUAUAAUAAACAUGUAACUAAUCUCUCUUUUCUUUUCCUAUCUUAGAUGCACACCUUCCAGGCUGUGGGGCAGCACAUACACGGACACAUUGGCCCAAAUUCUAGAGGUAACCUCCUUUAGUAUGCCCAGAGGAAGGGCAGUACAGUAGCCAUGGAUUCCCUACAGGUUUCCUCCCCUCUGGAGGUUUUUCCUGUCCUGAGUUAGUUACUGUCCGCUCUUUGUGAGUGAUGGAGGUUACAUAAAAUCCCUACACAAACAUUUUACUAAAUAAUAAAUAAAGUUCCCCUUUGUUUAAACUGUU
Long non-coding RNA from Hyla sarda, 1103 nucleotides. RefSeq lists it as uncharacterized. The transcript has 3 exons. Lineage: Eukaryota; Metazoa; Chordata; Amphibia; Anura; Hylidae. The record is from RefSeq and is a predicted model, not a curated record.